RNAcentral lists this long non-coding RNA (294 nucleotides) under Elaeis guineensis (African oil palm). Its description in RNAcentral is "long non-coding RNA (EGUI_LNC011733)". The record is from RNAcentral. Lineage: Eukaryota; Viridiplantae; Streptophyta; Magnoliopsida; Arecales; Arecaceae.
AGAUUAGGGGUUUCAUUCAUGAAAGCGAAGAGGGACCAAAUAAAUUUUUUUAGCGGUCUCUUUAAGACUUUGGAAAAGAUAAAGAAGGCCACCAUACUCCUUCAAAACAAAAGAAAGAAAAAGAUAAUAAGCAGAAGGGGAAAAAAGAGAAAAGAUUGCUCGCAUCAAUUCUUUCCUCUCUCUCUCUCUCUCUCUCUCUCUCAAGUUUCACGAUUAUGUCAUAGAGAUAUUUCCGUUUAUUGAUUAAUUCUGAAUUCUAUAUAAAUGUAGCAAGAAAUAGACGAUAGAUAGAGA